CCCGCAGGAGGAGCCGCCCUGGGCGCCCCACUCCCGGCGCAGAGCGGAGUGGGCGGUGCAGACGAGGAGAGCCGAGGUCAGCAGCACGAUUUCCCGUCCUCCUCUUCUCGGAUCCGCGGAGGAGGUCGGGGCAGGAAAACUCUCACCAAACCAAACCCGAAGGAAGACCCUUUGCACCAAGGAGAGAAGAGGGCGCCAUGUAAGCUUUACACCAGCAGACUGUUGGAUCUUCACAGCAGCUACGGGAUAAUUCCUCAAAGGCAACAGGGCUGAGUUAGGGAGAGUCAGUUUACAUGCAAUUUAGAAGUGGGAGGUUUAAAACAAGUGACAAAGCGUCACAUAGCUGCUUAGGUACAUUGAGGCCUAUAUUGGCAGGCAGGCUGGUCUGGAAACAAAGGAAUUGUUCAUCAUGUUACAGAGUCACUGGGGCACGGGGGAGCAGCCCUUACAGAGUGAGCACAGGGAAGUCAUUACCAUGACAUGGAGCAUUCCGGGGAGGGCCCUUGGGUUAGUCCAGGGCGCCUUAAGGUACACAAAUUACUGUGACUCAGCGCUCAUCAGAGGUGCGCAGCUGGGCUUGGACACCGUCAAGGUCAGUUGAAUUCAGCAGAAACAGGAGGACACAGAAAAGCGGUCAGAGAUUUCUAAUUGAUCAUGAAAUAUCUAUAAGUUUGAUGUCUUAUAAAUGUGUUUCUACAUGAUAAUUGUGGCCGAACACAUCCUCUUCUAAUUUUGCAAAGGAAGGAGUGACUGGCUGGUGACCGCAGAACACAGGCAGCAGUCUGUGUACAAUCCAGAGCAGGAGAAGCUCAGUGGGGUGCACAGGGCCCCAGAGGGGAGAGUGGAUUCCCCAGGACAGGGAGCAGUGCAAUUUAGGUCCUGACACUGUGGAAUGUGCUGAGCAGCCUUUUCCCUGAGACAGCCUGCAGCUUGUCAGUGUGAGUGGACAGGAAGAGGGGCAGCAUGUGGAGCAGCACCCCAGUGGGCACCCCGUUGUACUGCAAAUGGACAUCGUGUGAACUUCUCCGAUCUUAUUCUCGGGGAAUGCGUGAUGGGGUUGCGGGAGAUGGAUUUUCUCAGAACAAGAACAAGAACAGUUAUUGGGCAGCCUCGGAGGGAGAUGAUCUGACUUAUCGGAAAGUAAGUCUCCACACGGGGGUCCAUGUGCUUUGGGGCGUGGGAUCUGGGAAGAAUUUUCCAUGAGUUUCACACCAGCAGUGAAAGAAGUGGUGGGAUUUUCACAGCGUAUUCCUGGGUGCUGGGUCCCAGUCCUCUCCCCCGAUGGCCAGAUGAGCCUUUUACAGGCUGGGACUUUAGGGGUGCGAUUUGCAUCAUUGUUUGCGGCAAUGCGCACUCUGUGGAGGCUUUGAAGGAAGCACUCAUUGUGCUCAGAAAUGAAAACCACCCAAAUGAGGCCUCUGUGUUUACAAACGCCUGUGUAACUCCACUGGGGCUGCCAAAUAGCCCACAGUACUGGGUUCUGUCACUUUUCUGUUGGCAGCAGCUUUGAAUGUGAGAAACCAUUUUCUAGAAAUUCACCCAUAAAUUAGAUUUUGCAGUUUUUCAGAUAGGGAAGAAAUGGUUUCUUUAUUCUACUUUUUUUCUAAAAUUAUAUUGUAAGGAGAACAAAACCAAACAAAAUAAAACAAAAGAAAGCCAAUCAAAGCAGUGAAAGUGAUAGAAUACUUCCAAACAGGAUAAUAGGGAAUGAACAA
Cavia porcellus (domestic guinea pig) is the source of this 1715-nucleotide long non-coding RNA. RefSeq lists it as uncharacterized. Lineage: Eukaryota; Metazoa; Chordata; Mammalia; Rodentia; Caviidae. The record is from RefSeq and is a predicted model, not a curated record. The transcript has 2 exons.